CCCUUAGAUGUCCUGGGCCGCACGCGCACUACACUGAGUGUCUGAGAUACGAGUCUGCCUGGUCCGGCAAGGUCUAGGUAAUCGCUAAAAGACACAUCAUGCUUGGGAUAGAUUAUUGCAAAUAUUAAUCUUGAACGAGGAAUUCCUAGUAAGCGCAAGUCAACAGCUUGCGUUGAUUACGUCCCUGCCCUUUGUACACACCGCCCGUCGCUACUACUGAUUGGAUGUUUAAGCGAGGUUCUCGAACUGCUAGCGACUUAGCUUCGGUGAGGUCGCAGUGUGGGAAGUGAACCGAGCUUUGGUGUCUAGAGGAAGUAAAAGUCGUAACA
This 329-nucleotide ribosomal RNA is filed under the name uncultured eukaryote. RNAcentral describes it as "partial 18S ribosomal RNA". It matches the Rfam family "Eukaryotic small subunit ribosomal RNA", at positions 1470 to 1796 of the family's 1831-position model. The record is from RNAcentral.